Molecule: ribosomal RNA, 1475 nt
Filed under: bacterium
Lineage: Bacteria
Also listed under: 5 other names
Description: 16S ribosomal RNA
Rfam family: Bacterial small subunit ribosomal RNA
Source: RNAcentral
AAACUUGAGAGUUUGAUCAUGGCUCAGAACGUACGCUGGCGGCACGCCUAACACAUGCAAGUCGAACGAAGUAGCAAUACUUAGUGGCAGACGGGUGAGUAACAUGUAGGUAUCUGCCCUUUGGCCUGGAAUAACACGAGGAAACUUGUGCUAAUACCGGAUAAGUCUUUACGGAGAAAGCUUUAUGCACCAUUGGAUGAGCCUGCACUUGAUUAGUUUGUUGGUGGGGUAAUGGCCUACCAAGACUGUGAUCAAUAGCUGAUUUGAGAGGAUGAUCAGCCACAUUGGGACUGAGACACGGCCCAAACUCCUACGGGAGGCAGCAGUGGGGAAUCUUGCACAAUGGAGGAAACUCUGAUGCAGCGAUGCCGCGUGAGUGAAGAAGGCCUUUGGGUUGUAAAGCUCUUUCGUCGGGGAAGAAAAUGACUGUACCCGAAUAAGAAGGUCCGGCUAACUUCGUGCCAGCAGCCGCGGUAAUACGAAGGGACCUAGCGUAGUUCGGAAUUACUGGGCUUAAAGAGUUCGUAGGUGGUUGAAAAAGUUAGUGGUGAAAUCCCAGAGCUUAACUCUGGAACUGCCAUUAAAACUUUUCAGCUAGAGUAUGAUAGAGGAAAGCAGAAUUUCUAGUGUAGAGGUGAAAUUCGUAGAUAUUAGAAAGAAUACCAAUUGCGAAGGCAGCUUUCUGGAUCAUUACUGACACUGAGGAACGAAAGCAUGGGUAGCGAAGAGGAUUAGAUACCCUCGUAGUCCAUGCCGUAAACGAUGUGUGUUAGACGUUGGAAAUUUAUUUUCAGUGUCGCAGGGAAACCGAUAAACACACCGCCUGGGGAGUACGACCGCAAGGUUAAAACUCAAAUGAAUUGACGGGGACCCGCACAAGUAGUGGAGCAUGUGGUUUAAUUCGAAGAUACGCGCAGAACCUUACCAACACUUGACAUGUUCGUCGCGACUCUAAGAGAUUAGAGUUUUCGGUUCGGCCGGACGAAACACAGGUGCUGCAUGGCUGUCGUCAGCUCGUGUCGUGAGAUGUUGGGUUAAGUCCCGCAACGAGCGCAACCCUCACUUUUAGUUGCCAUCAUUAAGUUGGGCACUCUGAAAGAACUGCCAGUGAUAAGCUGGAGGAAGGUGGGGAUGACGUCAAGUCCUCAUGGCCCUUACGUGUUGGGCUACACACGUGCUACAAUGGUAUCUACAACAGGAAGCAAGACUGCGAAGUUAAGCAAAUCCCUAAAAGAUACCUCAGUUCGGAUUGCACUCUGCAACUCGAGUGCAUGAAGCUGGAAUUACUAGUAAUCGUGGAUCAGCGUGCCACGGUGAAUGCGUUCCCGGGUCUUGUACACACCGCCCGUCACACCAUGGGAGUUGGUUCUACCUUAAGGCAAGGUUUCAAACCCUUGACCACGGUAUAGUCAGCGACUGGGGUGAAGUCGUAACAAGGUAGCCGUAGGGGAACCUGCGGCUGGAUUACCUCCUUU